This 2902-nucleotide ribosomal RNA is filed under the name Klebsiella aerogenes. RNAcentral's name for it is "23S ribosomal RNA". It matches the Rfam family "Bacterial large subunit ribosomal RNA". The record is from RNAcentral. Lineage: Bacteria; Pseudomonadati; Pseudomonadota; Gammaproteobacteria; Enterobacterales; Enterobacteriaceae.
UUAAGCGACUAAGCGUACACGGUGGAUGCCCUGGCAGUCAGAGGCGAUGAAGGACGUGCUAAUCUGCGAAAAGCGUCGGUAAGGUGAUAUGAACCGUUACAGCCGGCGAUGUCCGAAUGGGGAAACCCAGUGUGAUUCGUCACACUAUCGUUAACUGAAUACAUAGGUUAACGAGGCGAACCGGGGGAACUGAAACAUCUAAGUACCCCGAGGAAAAGAAAUCAACCGAGAUUCCCCCAGUAGCGGCGAGCGAACGGGGAGCAGCCCAGAGUCUGAAUCAGCUUGUGUGUUAGUGGAACGGUCUGGAAAGUCCGACGGUACAGGGUGAUAGUCCCGUACACCAAAAUGCACAGGUUGUGAACUCGAAGAGUAGGGCGGGACACGUGGUAUCCUGUCUGAAUAUGGGGGGACCAUCCUCCAAGGCUAAAUACUCCUGACUGACCGAUAGUGAACCAGUACCGUGAGGGAAAGGCGAAAAGAACCCCGGCGAGGGGAGUGAAAAAGAACCUGAAACCGUGUACGUACAAGCAGUGGGAGCACCUUUAUGGUGUGACUGCGUACCUUUUGUAUAAUGGGUCAGCGACUUAUAUUCUGUAGCAAGGUUAACCGUAUAGGGGAGCCGCAGGGAAACCGAGUCUUAACUGGGCGUUAAGUUGCAGGGUAUAGACCCGAAACCCGGUGAUCUAGCCAUGGGCAGGUUGAAGGUUGGGUAACACUAACUGGAGGACCGAACCGACUAAUGUUGAAAAAUUAGCGGAUGACUUGUGGCUGGGGGUGAAAGGCCAAUCAAACCGGGAGAUAGCUGGUUCUCCCCGAAAGCUAUUUAGGUAGCGCCUCGUGAAUUCAUCUUCGGGGGUAGAGCACUGUUUCGGCUAGGGGGUCAUCCCGACUUACCAACCCGAUGCAAACUACGAAUACCGAAGAAUGUUAUCACGGGAGACACACGGCGGGUGCUAACGUCCGUCGUGAAGAGGGAAACAACCCAGACCGCCAGCUAAGGUCCCAAAGUCACAGUUAAGUGGGAAACGAUGUGGGAAGGCACAGACAGCCAGGAUGUUGGCUUAGAAGCAGCCAUCAUUUAAAGAAAGCGUAAUAGCUCACUGGUCGAGUCGGCCUGCGCGGAAGAUGUAACGGGGCUAAACUGUGCACCGAAGCUGCGGCAGCGACACUAUGUGUUGUUGGGUAGGGGAGCGUUCUGUAAGCCUGCGAAGGUGGCCUGUGAGGGUUGCUGGAGGUAUCAGAAGUGCGAAUGCUGACAUAAGUAACGAUAAUGCGGGUGAAAAGCCCGCACGCCGGAAGACCAAGGGUUCCUGUCCAACGUUAAUCGGGGCAGGGUGAGUCGACCCCUAAGGCGAGGCCGAAAGGCGUAGUCGAUGGGAAACAGGUUAAUAUUCCUGUACUUGGUGUUACUGCGAAGGGGGACGGAGAAGGCUAUGUUAGCCGGGCGACGGUUGUCCCGGUUUAAGCAUGUAGGCGGAGGUUCCAGGUAAAUCCGGUACCUUUUAACGCUGAGGUGUGAUGACGAGGCACUACGGUGCUGAAGUAACAAAUGCCCUGCUUCCAGGAAAAGCCUCUAAGCAUCAGGUAACAUUGAAUCGUACCCCAAACCGACACAGGUGGUCAGGUAGAGAAUACCAAGGCGCUUGAGAGAACUCGGGUGAAGGAACUAGGCAAAAUGGUGCCGUAACUUCGGGAGAAGGCACGCUGAUAUGUAGGUGAAGCCCCUGCGGGUGGAGCUGAAAUCAGUCGAAGAUACCAGCUGGCUGCAACUGUUUAUUAAAAACACAGCACUGUGCAAACACGAAAGUGGACGUAUACGGUGUGACGCCUGCCCGGUGCCGGAAGGUUAAUUGAUGGGGUUAUCCGUAAGGAGAAGCUCUUGAUCGAAGCCCCGGUAAACGGCGGCCGUAACUAUAACGGUCCUAAGGUAGCGAAAUUCCUUGUCGGGUAAGUUCCGACCUGCACGAAUGGCGUAAUGAUGGCCAGGCUGUCUCCACCCGAGACUCAGUGAAAUUGAACUCGCUGUGAAGAUGCAGUGUACCCGCGGCAAGACGGAAAGACCCCGUGAACCUUUACUAUAGCUUGACACUGAACAUUGAGCCUUGAUGUGUAGGAUAGGUGGGAGGCUUUGAAGCGUGGACGCCAGUCUGCGUGGAGCCAACCUUGAAAUACCACCCUUUAAUGUUUGAUGUUCUAACGUUGGCCCCUUAUCGGGGUUGCGGACAGUGUCUGGUGGGUAGUUUGACUGGGGCGGUCUCCUCCCAAAGAGUAACGGAGGAGCACGAAGGUUAGCUAAUCCUGGUCGGACAUCAGGAGGUUAGUGCAAUGGCAUAAGCUAGCUUGACUGCGAGCGUGACGGCGCGAGCAGGUGCGAAAGCAGGUCAUAGUGAUCCGGUGGUUCUGAAUGGAAGGGCCAUCGCUCAACGGAUAAAAGGUACUCCGGGGAUAACAGGCUGAUACCGCCCAAGAGUUCAUAUCGACGGCGGUGUUUGGCACCUCGAUGUCGGCUCAUCACAUCCUGGGGCUGAAGUAGGUCCCAAGGGUAUGGCUGUUCGCCAUUUAAAGUGGUACGCGAGCUGGGUUUAGAACGUCGUGAGACAGUUCGGUCCCUAUCUGCCGUGGGCGCUGGAGAAUUGAGGGGGGCUGCUCCUAGUACGAGAGGACCGGAGUGGACGCAUCACUGGUGUUCGGGUUGUCAUGCCAAUGGCAUUGCCCGGUAGCUAAAUGCGGAAGAGAUAAGUGCUGAAAGCAUCUAAGCACGAAACUUGCCCCGAGAUGAGUUCUCCCUGAGACUUUAAGUCUCCUGAAGGAACGUUAAAGACGAUGACGUUGAUAGGUCGGGUGUGUAAGCGUAGCGAUACGUUGAGCUAACCGAUACUAAUGAACCGUGAGGCUUAACCUU